GGAUGCCAUUUUGAGAUCAGCCCUUGUGAAACUUCCCCAUGUGACAAACACAGUUUCAUGUUAUGAGUCCCCUUAUGAAAUGGUGGGUGGUUUCUUGGUUGGUUGUUUGCACACCACUGAAUAAAUUGUAUGGUCUGUUUCGGCAGGGACUGCAGGUUUUUGGUGUUGUCCUACUGUGUAGUAGGUUGUGUUGGGUCGAUUAUCUCCCGUUUGCUCCUGCGUCUGAUCCUGUACCUUAUGAAUUAAAUAUAAAAAGUGGUAUUUUUAAAAUGUCCCCUUAAUAAUCAUGCUUAGCUGAACAAUUACUAAAAUAAAGA
Long non-coding RNA from Rhinichthys klamathensis goyatoka, 317 nucleotides. RefSeq lists it as uncharacterized. The transcript is spliced from 2 exons. The record is from RefSeq and is a predicted model, not a curated record. NCBI's taxonomy places the organism in Eukaryota, Metazoa, Chordata, Actinopteri, Cypriniformes, Leuciscidae.